UGGUUCAUGACUGGGGUGAAGUCGUAACAAGGUAGCCCUAGGGGAACCUGGGGCUGGAUCACCUCCUUA
This 69-nucleotide ribosomal RNA is filed under the name Photobacterium aquimaris. RNAcentral's name for it is "Bacterial small subunit ribosomal RNA". It matches the Rfam family "Bacterial small subunit ribosomal RNA", at positions 1465 to 1533 of the family's 1533-position model. Lineage: Bacteria; Pseudomonadati; Pseudomonadota; Gammaproteobacteria; Vibrionales; Vibrionaceae. RNAcentral also lists the same sequence under 4 other names. The record is from Rfam by way of RNAcentral.